Molecule: transfer RNA, 87 nt
Filed under: Escherichia coli
Lineage: Bacteria; Pseudomonadati; Pseudomonadota; Gammaproteobacteria; Enterobacterales; Enterobacteriaceae
Description: tRNA-Leu
Rfam family: tRNA
About the family: Transfer RNA (tRNA) molecules are approximately 80 nucleotides in length.
Source: RNAcentral
NCGAAGGUGGCGGAAUUGGUAGACGCGCUAGCUUCAGGUGUUAGUGUCCUUACGGACGUGGGGGUUCAAGUCCCCCCCCUCGCACCA